This 236-nucleotide ribosomal RNA is filed under the name uncultured bacterium. RNAcentral's name for it is "partial 16S ribosomal RNA". It matches the Rfam family "Bacterial small subunit ribosomal RNA", at positions 118 to 353 of the family's 1533-position model. The record is from RNAcentral.
UGAGCAAUCUGCCCUUCUCUUUGGAAUAAGCGUUGGAAACGACGUCUAAUGCCGAAUACGACCUCCUUUCGCAUGAUCGGAGGUGGAAAGCUCCGGCGGAGAAGGAUGAGCUCGCGGCCUAUCAGCUAGUUGGUGUGGGUAAUGGCCCACCAAGGCGACGACGGGUAGCCGGCCUGAGAGGGUGACCGGCCACACUGGGACUGAGACACGGCCCAGACCUCCUACGGGAGGNAGCG